Molecule: long non-coding RNA, 590 nt
Filed under: Vitis vinifera (wine grape)
Lineage: Eukaryota; Viridiplantae; Streptophyta; Magnoliopsida; Vitales; Vitaceae
Description: long non-coding RNA (VVIN_LNC002595)
Source: RNAcentral
CCACUCCACUCACUUCAUAAUUCAUUUCUCCUCCUCCUCCUCCUCCUCCUCCUGCUUUCUCCCUCUCUUAGCUUCCUUCUCCCACCAUGACUUCAAAAGACUGCGGCAACCAUAGGCACAAGCAUCAUAAGCUGAGGCGAUGCUUCGCCGGAUUGCUUAUCUUCUUCUUCAUCGUCCUCCUCGUCGUACUCCUGGUGUGGGCAAUCCUCCAGCCCAAGGACCCACGCUUCGUCCUCCAAGACGCCACCAUCUACGCCCUCAACGUCUCCACCCCGAAUAUCCUCACCGUCAACAUCCAAGUCACCAUCACCACCCGCAACCCCAACGACAAGAUCGGCAUCUACUAUGAGAAACUCGACACCUACGCCACCUACCGCGGCCAGCAGAUUACCCUCGCGUACCUCAUCCCCCCCACCUACCAGGGCCACAAGGAGAUCAUCACCUGGUCACCUUUUCUCUCCGGCACGGCCGUACCCGUGGCUCCCUACAACGCCAUUGCACUGAAUCAGGACCAGUCGUAUGGCGCCCUCACCUUGAUCAUCAAGAUUGAUGGACGGGUGAAAUGGAAAGUUGGUUCCUUCACAUCAGGC